AUUGAACGCUGGCGGCAUGCCUUACACAUGCCAGUCGAACGGCAGCACGGGUGCUUGCACCUGGUGGCGAGUGGCGAACGGGUGAGUAAUACAUCGGAACAUGUCCUGUAGUGGGGGAUAGCCCGGCGACAGCCGGAUUAAUACCGCAUACGAUCUACGGAUGAAAGCGGGGGACCUUCGGGCCUCGCGCUAUAGGGUUGGCCGAUGGCUGAUUAGCUAGUUGGUGGGGUAAAGGCCUACCAAGGCGACGAUCAGUAGCUGGUCUGAGAGGACGACCAGCCACACUGGGACUGAGACACGGCCCAGACUCCUACGGGAGGCAGCAGUGGGGAAUUUUGGACAAUGGGCGAAAGCCUGAUCCAGCAAUGCCGCGUGUGUGAAGAAGGCCUUCGGGUUGUAAAGCACUUUUGUCCGGAAAGAAAGCCUUGGCCCUAAUACGGUCGGGGGAUGACGGUACCGGAAGAAUAAGCACCGGCUAACUACGUG
Molecule: ribosomal RNA, 486 nt
Filed under: uncultured bacterium
Lineage: Bacteria
Description: partial 16S ribosomal RNA
Rfam family: Bacterial small subunit ribosomal RNA
Source: RNAcentral